This 415-nucleotide ribosomal RNA is filed under the name uncultured fungus. RNAcentral describes it as "SSU rRNA". It matches the Rfam family "Eukaryotic small subunit ribosomal RNA", at positions 553 to 983 of the family's 1831-position model. The record is from RNAcentral. Lineage: Eukaryota; Fungi.
UGGCAAGUUUCUUGCCAGCAGCCGCGGUAAUUCCAGCUCUGAUAGUAUAUAUUAAAGUUGUUGCAGUUAAAAAGCUCGUAGUUGAAACUUGGGUGCGUAGGGGCGGUCUCUUUUAGAGUACUACCCUGAAACAUCUUUCUUUGGUGUAAACUCUUUAUUCACUUAAGGAGUGUAAACCAAACAUUUACUUUGAAAAAAUUAGAGUGUUCAAAGCAGGCCUUUGCUCGAAUAUAUUAGCAUGGAAUAAUAGAAUAGGACGUAUGGUUCUAUUUUGUUGGUUUCUAGGACCGUCGUAAUGAUUAAUAGGGACGGUCGGGGGCAUCAGUAUUCAGUUGUCAGAGGUGAAAUUCUUGGAUUUACUGAAGACUAACUACUGCGAAAGCAUUGCCAAGGACGUUUCAUAUCAGACGAAUUG